UACGUAGGUCGCAAGCGUUGUCCGGAUUUAUUGGGCGUAAAGAGCUCGUAGGCGGUUUGUCGCGUCUGCUGUGAAAACUCGAGGCUCAACCUCGGGCUUGCAGUGGGUACGGGCUGACUAGAGUGCGGUAGGGGUGACUGGAAUUCCUGGUGUAGCGGUGGAAUGCGCAGAUAUCAGGAGGAACACCGAUGGCGAAGGCAGGUCACUGGGCCGCAACUGACGCUGAGGAGCGAAAGCAUGGGGAGCGAACAGG
Molecule: ribosomal RNA, 253 nt
Filed under: uncultured bacterium
Lineage: Bacteria
Description: partial 16S ribosomal RNA
Rfam family: Bacterial small subunit ribosomal RNA
Source: RNAcentral